GAGUUUGAUCAUGGCUCAGAUUGAACGCUGGCGGCAGGCUUAACACAUGCAAGUCGAACGGUAGCAGGAGAAAGCUUGCUUUCUUGCUGACGAGUGGCGGACGGGUGAGUAAUGCUUGGGAAUCUGGCUUAUGGAGGGGGAUAACUACUGGAAACGGUAGCUAAUACCGCGUAAUAUCGAGAGAUUAAAGACUGGGACCUACGGGCCAGUUGCCAUAAGAUGAGCCCAAGUGGGAUUAGGUAGUUGGUGGGGUAAAGGCCUACCAAGCCCGCGAUCUCUAGCUGGUCUGAGAGGAUGACCAGCCACACUGGAACUGAGACACGGUCCAGACUCCUACGGGAGGCAGCAGUGGGGAAUAUUGCACAAUGGGGGGAACCCUGAUGCAGCCAUGCCGCGUGAAUGAAGAAGGCCUUCGGGUNGUAAAGUUCUUUCGGUGGUGAGGAAGGUAUCAACUUUAAUAGAGUUGUAAUGACGUUCCC
This 479-nucleotide ribosomal RNA is filed under the name Pasteurellaceae bacterium canine oral taxon 080. Its description in RNAcentral is "bacterial SSU rRNA". It matches the Rfam family "Bacterial small subunit ribosomal RNA", at positions 9 to 479 of the family's 1533-position model. Lineage: Bacteria; Pseudomonadati; Pseudomonadota; Gammaproteobacteria; Pasteurellales; Pasteurellaceae. The record is from RNAcentral.